Molecule: ribosomal RNA, 253 nt
Filed under: uncultured bacterium
Lineage: Bacteria
Description: partial 16S ribosomal RNA
Rfam family: Bacterial small subunit ribosomal RNA
Source: RNAcentral
UACGUAGGGGGCAAGCGUUGUCCGGAAUCAUUGGGCGUAAAGCGCGUGUAGGCGGCCCGGUAAGUCCGCUGUGAAAGUCGGGGGCUCAACCCUCGAAUGCCGGUGGAUACUGUCGGGCUAGAGUGCGGAAGAGGCGAGUGGAAUUCCUGGUAUAGCGGUGAAAUGCGCAGAUAUCAGGAGGAACACCAAUUGCGAAGGCAGCUCGCUGGGACGUGACUGACGCUGAGACGCGAAAGCGUGGGGAGCAAACAGG